Long non-coding RNA from Camelus dromedarius (Arabian camel), 1225 nucleotides. RefSeq lists it as uncharacterized. The record is from RefSeq and is a predicted model, not a curated record. The transcript has 4 exons. Lineage: Eukaryota; Metazoa; Chordata; Mammalia; Artiodactyla; Camelidae.
CGUGCUCCAAAUGAAUAGUGAAUUGGACCUACUUUCCAAGGGAUGCAGUUCCUCAGCCCCACUCCCUGGUCGUCAAGGUUUAGGGGAGAAAAGGUUUCGAAGCAAGAAGGAAGCCCAGCCCCAACGUCCCAGGAGCCCAAGUCCCGGCGCCCCUCCUACUUCCCGCGGCUGUUUGCGACUCUCAUCCCCGUUCCCUCGCGUUUUUUCCGCCUCCUCUUCAGGAUUCUGGGCCCCAGAAACCGGGUUCUCCUGUACAGAAGGACUAUGUGGACACGUCGAGGUUUCAGGACUCGUGAAUCUUAUAUGUCCUCUACAAGCCCACCUGGCCCUGCGGAGUCCCAUCACUCUCGGAGUCUCGAGUUCUUACGUGCAAAAAAGAGGAAUCCGGGCUACCGAUUCCAGCAUCUCAAGUUGUUGAGACCAGGGAUCCCUGACCCACUGCCACCCGGACCCGGGCUUCUCCGCGGGCUGAAUCCAGGACCCGCGGGGGCUCCCCGCUCCGACCUGCCCAGACUCUGCUCCACCGAUAAGACGCCUUAGGACAGGACCAGAUGGAACACUUUUCAUUCUCUUCGAUGGGUUUUGAAAUGUUCUUCAGCCACAAAGUGCUGUAGAAUACAACUCGUUUAGGAAGGCCUCUAAGCGAAACAGAGGAGAGGGACCUGGAAAAAGAGCUGGGCAGGCGGAGGAGGGACGCGGAAGAGCAAAGGGAAGCGGAAGUAGGGUAAGAUUUCAAUUUGGUGUCGCGGCACAGAGGCCAAGAUUCGGAAACAGUGGGACUCAUGCGUGGCCCUGCGUUCUCCUGUGGUGACCUCCUCUCUGGGACCUGUGCAUAUAAUAAACAUCUCUUCCCAGUCUCUUCCCUUCCUGUGGCCGCACCAACUUCACCACACCGUACUCAACGUCUCCUUUCUUAGACCACACACCAUAUACAAAAGGCUAAUUUCCCUAAUAUUUACAGAAUUAUAAGCCAAUGAGAAAUAAACCAACAACACAAUAAAAACAGCAAACAUAGAAACAAUAGAAAACAUAACACUCUUGUCCAUAAGAGAAAGUAUUUAACAUUAAACAUUGUUAUUAAUGAAAACAAUACAAUUUAAAACUAAGUUGAAAUAACAUUUUUCAGCUAUAAGAAAUGGUAAAUUUUUAAAAAGUUUAAUAUUUUGGAGAGUUAAUAAAUAUUGUUAAUGAGAGGUACGAGGUAUUGUUAAAUUGAUACGAGUUC